UACGUAGGGCGCAAGCGUUAUCCGGAAUUAUUGGGCGUAAAGAGCUCGUAGGCGGUUUGUCGCGUCUGCCGUGAAAGUCCGGGGCUCAACUCCGGAUCUGCGGUGGGUACGGGCAGACUAGAGUGAUGUAGGGGAGACUGGAAUUCCUGGUGUAGCGGUGAAAUGCGCAGAUAUCAGGAGGAACACCGGUGGCGAAGGCGGUUCUCUGGGCAUUCCCUGACGCUGAGGAGCGAAAGUGUGGGGAGCGAACAGG
RNAcentral lists this ribosomal RNA (253 nucleotides) under uncultured bacterium. Its description in RNAcentral is "partial 16S ribosomal RNA". It matches the Rfam family "Bacterial small subunit ribosomal RNA", at positions 524 to 776 of the family's 1533-position model. The record is from RNAcentral.